UUUACACCUCAAUAAAAGCCCACUCCUGAAGAGUCUACCGAAAGCCCGUCUCCAACACCAGGUAUACCAGAUGAGACAACUGGGCAGACGACAUUGACAAGUCCUACUCCUGAAGAGUCUACCGAAAGCCCGUCUCCAACACCAGACUUUACCACCAUACACCAGUCAUUACCUCCAGGAGCAAACGUUGUACAACAGAGGACAUCCCUCUUCAAACGGAUUGAAGGAAGGCUCCUUCAAAAUCACGUGAUCAAAGUCAUACGUGGAUUGUCAUUGGUCGAAUGCGGAGCCGAAUGCAACAAGCGGCAUAAUUGCCUGUCAUUCAAUUUCGGCAACGGUGUCUGCAAGCUCAACAACGGGACAGUAGCGGGGAGUAAUGUCGGCGCAGGAAACUUUUUUAGAGACGAGAGAUUCAAUUACUAUGAGAAACAAUGAAAUGAUAUUUUACUGGUUCAUUAUUAAUGUCACGGUGAUCAAGUCACAAAGGGGAUUUGAAUUAAAUUGAAUAGAAUAACUUUAUUGUCCAUAAGGAAGUUCCCUUUUUACUGGUUUACACACAUGUAGAUACAAUGUUUAUACACAGAACAAAAAAAACAGUCAGACAUCUGUUUGACAGUG
This is a long non-coding RNA of Lytechinus variegatus (green sea urchin), 618 nucleotides long. RefSeq lists it as uncharacterized. The transcript is spliced from 4 exons. The record is from RefSeq and is a predicted model, not a curated record. Lineage: Eukaryota; Metazoa; Echinodermata; Echinoidea; Temnopleuroida; Toxopneustidae.